UACUCCUACGGGAGGCAGCAGUCGGGAAUAUUGCGCAAUGGAGGAAACUCUGACGCAGUGACGCCGCGUGAGUGAUGAAGUAUUUCGGUAUGUAAAGCUCUAUCAGCAGGGAAGAAAGGCCCGCAAGGGAGAUGACGGUACCUGACUAAGAAGUCCCGGCUAACUACGUGCCAGCAGCCGCGGUAAU
Molecule: ribosomal RNA, 187 nt
Filed under: uncultured bacterium
Lineage: Bacteria
Description: partial 16S ribosomal RNA
Rfam family: Bacterial small subunit ribosomal RNA
Source: RNAcentral